This 810-nucleotide ribosomal RNA is filed under the name uncultured bacterium. RNAcentral's name for it is "bacterial SSU rRNA". It matches the Rfam family "Bacterial small subunit ribosomal RNA", at positions 8 to 796 of the family's 1533-position model. The record is from RNAcentral.
AGAGUUUGAUCCUGGCUCAGAACGAACGCUGGCGGCGUGGAUAAGACAUGCAAGUCGGACGGGAACUUUCGUUGUAGCAAUACGAUGGAAGUUUCAGUGGCGAUCGGGUGCGUAACACGUGGGCAAUCUGCCUUAAAGUGGGGGAUAGCUCGGCGAAAGCCGAAUUAAUACCGCAUGUGGCUACUGGAGACAUCUUCGGGACGCUAAAGGUGGCGCAAGCUACCGCUUUUUGAGGAGCUCGCGGCCUAUCAGCUUGUUGGUGAGGUAACGGCUCACCAAGGCUUUGACGGGUAGCUGGUCUGAGAGGACGACCAGCCACACUGGGACUGAGACACGGCCCAGACACCUACGGGUGGCAGCAGUCGAGAAUUUUUGACAAUGGGGGAAACCCUGAUCGAGCGACGCCGCGUGGAGGAUGAAGGUCUUCGGGUUGUAAACUCCUGUCAUUUGGGAACAAGGCGCGGGUAUUAACUGUACACGCGUUGAUAGUACCAGAAGAGGAAGAGACGGCUAACUCUGUGCCAGCAGCCGCGGUAAUACAGAGGUCUCAAGCGUUGUUCGGAUUCAUUGGGCGUAAAGGGUGUGUAGGUGGCGCGCUAAGUCGGGUGUGAAAUUUCGGAGCUUAACUCCGAAACUGCAUUCGAUACUGGCGUGCUUGAGGACUGGAGAGGAGACUGGAAUUUACGGUGUAGCAGUGAAAUGCGUAGAUAUCGUAAGGAAGACCAGUGGCGAAGGCGGGUCUCUGGACAGUUCCUGACACUGAGACACGAAGGCCAGGGGAGCAAACGGGAUUAGAUACCCCAGUAGUCC